CUCCCCCAGGGGCCACAGCACUUCCUGGAGCGACACGGGGCUGCUGCCACGCCGGUGUCACUUUAGUGCUCUCCUUCCUCACUAUCAGCAGUGCCUGACAUCAGAAUGUUCUGCACUGGAUCAGAAGGAAGAAAAAGCAAGCUCUUCGACCAUUUCUUUAAGUAAAGUGCAUGUGUAAUUGAAGUGGAAGGCUAUACAGGAACAAGAAGAGCUCUUCUGAUUGGCAUUCCCUGCUCUCCUUAGGAUCAGCCAAAGUAAGAAGGAAACAUGGAUUACAGGAUUUUCAGGAAUGGACUCAGUAAUGUGGAAUCUGCAUAGGUCCAAAGCUGAACUGCCUCACGGUGUGUGUUUGAUCUGAAGAUGUCAUUGAGGGGUCUAGAUAGACUACUGAAAUCCAGUGGCAUUCACUAUAACUAGUACAUGCAAACAGUCUCACAAUAAAUAUGAAUUGAAGAUCUCUUGUAACAAAAAAGAUACUGAACAAAAGCACAGGUGGUUGUGUGUGUGCUCUGAUAUAAAAAAAACAAUUAGGAGCAGCAAGU
Molecule: long non-coding RNA, 542 nt
Organism: Gopherus evgoodei (Goodes thornscrub tortoise)
Lineage: Eukaryota; Metazoa; Chordata; Testudines; Testudinidae
Exons: 3
Source: RefSeq, a predicted model, not a curated record